AUCAUUUAGAGGAAGGAGAAGUCGUAACAAGGUUUCCGUAGGUGAACCUGCGGAAGGAUCAUUGUCGAAACCUGCAAAGCAGACCGCGAACACGUAACUAACACCGCGGGCGCGGCGCGGGGGCGACCCCCUGCCGUGUCCCGUCUCCCGCCGGCGUGCUCCCCCGGGUCACGCCGCGCGGGCUAACGAACCCCGGCGCGGAACGCGCCAAGGAAAACCGAACGAAGCGUCCGCCCUCGGCACCCCGUUCGCGGAGCGUGCCGCGGGACCGGCCGUCUAUCAAAUGUCAAAACGACUCUCGGCAACGGAUAUCUCGGCUCUCGCAUCGAUGAAGAACGUAGCGAAAUGCGAUACUUGGUGUGAAUUGCAGAAUCCCGUGAACCAUCGAGUCUUUGAACGCAAGUUGCGCCCGAAGCCAUUAGGCCGAGGGCACGCCUGCCUGGGCGUCACGCAUCGCGUCGCCCCCCUCCCCCGCGCGCAACGCCGGGCGGUCGGGGGCGGACACUGGCCCCCCGUGCGCCUCGGCGCGCGGCCGGCCCAAAUGAGAUCCCCGGCCGACUGGCGUCACGACAAGUGGUGGUUGAACAUCUCAAUCUCUCUCGUGGUCGUGCCGCCGUGUCGCGCCGCACGGGAAUCGUAAACGACCCAGCGGCGCACGGCGCGAACAGCGUCCC
RNAcentral lists this ribosomal RNA (674 nucleotides) under Pogogyne douglasii. Its description in RNAcentral is "eukaryotic LSU rRNA". The stretch from base 294 to 449 matches the Rfam family "5.8S ribosomal RNA". The record is from RNAcentral. Lineage: Eukaryota; Viridiplantae; Streptophyta; Magnoliopsida; Lamiales; Lamiaceae.